AAGGAUGUUGAAGCUGAUGGGACUUAACUAUGUAAUACAGUACAAGAAAGGAAGAGAAAAUAGAGUGGCGAAUGCCUUAUCACGCAGAGGUGUUACGAUAUAUUUUAUCUAUAUUAGGAUUUUACGAUAUAUUAGGAUAUUGUGUUUUAUUGCCUUAUAUAGAGUAGUAUCAUUGCCUUCUAUAGAGUAGGAUUAUAUAACAUGUAAUCCUAGUUAUACUCUUACUAUAGUAGUCAUUGUUACUAUAGUAAGACAAUCUCUUGUACUAUAUAUAUUCCUUAAUACAACUCAAGAGGGUAUGCACUUUAGCCAUUCUUUCA
Molecule: long non-coding RNA, 320 nt
Filed under: Ananas comosus (pineapple)
Lineage: Eukaryota; Viridiplantae; Streptophyta; Magnoliopsida; Poales; Bromeliaceae
Description: long non-coding RNA (ACOM_LNC000677)
Source: RNAcentral